RNAcentral lists this ribosomal RNA (222 nucleotides) under Giardia duodenalis. Its description in RNAcentral is "Giardia intestinalis partial small subunit ribosomal RNA". Lineage: Eukaryota; Fornicata; Diplomonadida; Hexamitidae. The record is from RNAcentral.
ACGCGGCGGACGGCUCAGGACGACGGUUGCACCCCCCGCGGCGGUCCCUGCUAGCCGGACACCGCUGGCAACCCGGCGCCAAGACGUGCGCGCAAGGGCGGGCGCCCGCGGGCGAGCAGCGUGACGCAGCGACGGCCCGCCCGGGCUUCCGGGGCAUCACCCGGUCGGCGCGGUCGCGGCGCGCCGAGGGCCCGACGCCUGGGCGGAGAAUCAGGGUUCGAC